Molecule: transfer RNA, 71 nt
Filed under: Candidatus Yanofskybacteria bacterium RIFCSPHIGHO2_01_FULL_39_44
Lineage: Bacteria; Candidatus Yanofskyibacteriota
Also listed under: 2 other names
Description: tRNA-Ala
Rfam family: tRNA
About the family: Transfer RNA (tRNA) molecules are approximately 80 nucleotides in length. Their secondary structure includes four short double-helical elements and three loops (D, anti-codon, and T loops).
Source: RNAcentral
GGGCCUAUGGUCUAGUGGCAGAACACGUCAUUCGCAUUGACGAGACGGCGGUUCGAUUCCGCCUAGGUCCA